UACGAGGGGGGCGAGCGUUGUUCGGAAUUAUUGGGCGUAAAGGGUGCGUAGGCGGCCUGACAAGUCUGAUGUGAAAUCCCUGGGCUCAACCCAGGGCCUGCAUCGGAAACUGUCGGGCUUGAGUAUGAGAGAGGUGAGUGGAAUUCCCAGUGUAGAGGUGAAAUUCGUAGAUAUUGGGAAGAACACCGGUGGCGAAGGCGGCUCACUGGCUCAUUACUGACGCUCAUGCGCGACAGCGUGGGGAUCAAACAGG
This 253-nucleotide ribosomal RNA is filed under the name uncultured bacterium. RNAcentral describes it as "partial 16S ribosomal RNA". It matches the Rfam family "Bacterial small subunit ribosomal RNA", at positions 524 to 776 of the family's 1533-position model. The record is from RNAcentral.